RNAcentral lists this unclassified non-coding RNA (242 nucleotides) under Hevea brasiliensis (rubber tree). The record is from RNAcentral. Lineage: Eukaryota; Viridiplantae; Streptophyta; Magnoliopsida; Malpighiales; Euphorbiaceae.
GCUUCAUGGCAAACAUCCGCGCGGCGUGAUGGUUUGCUGCAACCUCGCCCCGUUCUCCUCCUAGUACGCAUCCUUCUUGGCACGGGCGUCUUUCGCGGUCUGCACGAGAUUGAGUUGCUGCUCGAUCNNNNUUCGCUCCGACGCCGUGAGGCAUGACAGGAUGUCCUGUUCCUUGCGGAGCAGGCGGGGAAUAAGCUCCUCAUAGAGCGCGUGUCCCUUGCGGGUGAGCUGCAACGCCAGCU